GUUGGAUGUGGGAGUUGCGGGCUUCUAUAAAAGUCGGCUCUUCUUAAAUGCAUUAGUGAAACCUUUUAUUGAUCAUCUCUGGUGUGAUAAUUAUCUACGCCAUUGAUUAUACGAGGUUCUGCUUCCUAAUCGUCCUUUUAUUAGGACAAUUUCAUUGACCAUUUGACCUCAAAUCAGGUAGGACUACCCGCUGAACUUAA
Molecule: unclassified non-coding RNA, 200 nt
Filed under: soil metagenome
Description: partial contains internal transcribed spacer 2 and large subunit ribosomal RNA
Source: RNAcentral